GUCUUUUUGUUAUAUAUUUAGAGUCUAACCUGCCCCCUGAAUAUUAAAUGGCCGCAGUAUUUUGACUGUGCUAAGGUAGCAUAAUCAUUAGUUUUUUAAAUGAAAGCUGGAAUGAAGGGUUGAAUGAAAAAAUAACUGUCUUUUUUUAAUUAUUUUAGAAAUUUAUUUUUAAGUUAAAAAGCUUAAAUUUUUUUAAAAGACGAGAAGACCCUAUAGAGUUUAAUUUUUAAUUUUUAUAAAAUAUUUAGUAUUUAUAUUUAUAUAAUUAUUAAAAAUUUAAUUGGGGUGAUUAAAAAAUUUAAUUAACUUUUUUUUUAUUUUUAUAUUAUUAAAUAAUUAUAUGAUCCAAUAUUUUUGAUUAAAAGAAAAAAUUACCUUAGGGAUAACAGCGUAAUUUUAUUUAAUAGUUCUAAUUGAAAAUAAAGAUUGCGACCUCGAUGUUGGAUUAAAAUUUAAUUUUAGUGCAAAAGCUAAAAUAUUAAGUCUGUUCGACUUUUAAAAUUUUACA
This 508-nucleotide ribosomal RNA is filed under the name Omophoita sp. BMNH#704458. Its description in RNAcentral is "partial 16S ribosomal RNA". The stretch from base 382 to 508 matches the Rfam family "Bacterial large subunit ribosomal RNA", at positions 2473 to 2600 of the family's 2925-position model. The record is from RNAcentral. Lineage: Eukaryota; Metazoa; Arthropoda; Insecta; Coleoptera; Chrysomelidae.